GCUACUGGACCUGAUGGCCUCUCAUUCCUCUUCCUACAGGAAUUUUGGGAAAUCAUUAAACAUGAUGUAAUGGCAUUGUUUGAGGAUUUCCACUCUGGUAAUUUAGACAUUUAUAGGCUUAACUUUGCCAUGAUUUCUCUUAUUCCAAAAGAGGAAGAUGCCACCAGCAUGAAAAAGUUUAGGCCAAUUAGUGUGUUGAACUGCAUUUUUAAUGUCUUCACUAAAGUGCUAACUAAUAGACUUGCUAUCAUUAUGAAUUUCCUGACCUCUAAUAACCAGUCAGCUUUCAUCAAGGGGAGGUUCAUUCUGGAAAGUGUGGUGACUGCCCAUGAGGUCUUGCACUCCACUUACCACUCUGAUAGCCCAAGGCUGGUGCUUAAACUAGAUUAUGAGAAGGCCUUUGAUAAAGUUAAUUUAGACUUCUUGAUGGAAAUCCUUCAAAAAGGAACUUUGGUAAUGUAUGGAUCAAAUGGAUCCAUCAGAUCACUCAUAUGGGGUCAGUAG
RNAcentral lists this ribosomal RNA (504 nucleotides) under Triticum aestivum (bread wheat). RNAcentral's name for it is "partial small subunit ribosomal RNA". Lineage: Eukaryota; Viridiplantae; Streptophyta; Magnoliopsida; Poales; Poaceae. The record is from RNAcentral.